Molecule: ribosomal RNA, 500 nt
Filed under: uncultured bacterium
Lineage: Bacteria
Description: partial 16S ribosomal RNA
Rfam family: Bacterial small subunit ribosomal RNA
Source: RNAcentral
AUUGAACGCUGGCGGAAUGCUUUACACAUGCAAGUCGAACGGCAGCACGGACUUCGGUCUGGUGGCGAGUGGCGAACGGGUGAGUAAUACAUCGGAACGUGCCCAAUCGUGGGGGAUAACGUAGCGAAAGCUACGCUAAUACCGCAUACGAUCUAAGGAUGAAAGCGGGGGAUCGCAAGACCUCGCGCGAUUGGAGCGGCCGAUGGCAGAUCAGGUAGUUGGUAGGGUAAAGGCCUACCAAGCCGACGAUCUGUAGCUGGUCUGAGAGGAUGAUCAGCCACACUGGGACUGAGACACGGCCCAGACUCCUACGGGAGGCAGCAGUGGGGAAUUUUGGACAAUGGACGCAAGUCUGAUCCAGCCAUUCCGCGUGCAGGAUGAAGGCCCUCGGGUUGUAAACUGCUUUUGUACAGAACGAAAAGGCUCUGGUUAAUACCUAGGGCUCAUGACGGUACUGUAAGAAUGAGCACCGGCUAACUACGUGCCAGCCGCCGCAGUAA